This 446-nucleotide ribosomal RNA is filed under the name uncultured bacterium. Its description in RNAcentral is "bacterial SSU rRNA". It matches the Rfam family "Bacterial small subunit ribosomal RNA", at positions 335 to 797 of the family's 1533-position model. The record is from RNAcentral.
ACUCAUACGGGAGGCAGCAGUGGGAAUCUUAGACAAUGGGGGAAACCCUGAUCUAGCCAUGCCGCGUGAGCGAUGAAGGCCUUAGGGUUGUAAAGCUCUUUCAGCUGGGAAGAUAAUGACGGUACCAGCAGAGAAGCCCCGGCUAACUUCCGUUGCCAGCAGCCGCGGUAAUACGGAGGGGCUAGCGUUGUUCGGAAUUACUGGGCGUAAAGCGCACGUAGGCGGAUUGGUAAGUUGGGGGUGAAAUCCCGGGGCUCAACCCCGGAACUGCCUCCAAAACUCCCAGUCUUGAGGUCGAGAGAGGGUGAGUGGAAUUCCGAGUGUAGAGGUGAAAUUCGUAGAUAUUCGGAGGGAACACCAGUGGCGAAGGCGGCUCACUGGCUCGAUACUGACGCUGAGAUGCGAAGCGUGGGGAGCCAAACAGGAUUAGAUACCCUGGUAGGUGA